AUGAACGCUGGCGGCGUGCCUAACACAUGCAAGUCGAACGGAGAUAAGACGCUGACGAGACUUCGGUCAAAUCUGUUUAUCUUAGUGGCGGACGGGUGAGUAACGCGUGGGCAACCUGCCUCAUACUGGGGGAUAGCAGUUGGAAACGACUGAUAAUACCGCAUAAGCGCACGGAGUCGCAUGACUCAGUGUGAAAAACUCCGGUGGUAUGAGAUGGGCCCGCGUCAGAUUAGCCAGUUGGCAGGGUAACGGCCUACCAAAGCGACGAUCUGUAGCCGGCCUGAGAGGGCGGACGGCCACAUUGGGACUGAGACACGGCCCAAACUCCUACGGGAGGCAGCAGUGGGGGAUAUUGCACAAUGGAGGAAACUCUGAUGCAGCGACGCCGCGUGAAGUGAAGAAGUAUUUCGGUAUGUAAAGCUCUAUCAGCAGGGAAGAAAGGCUCCGCAAGGAGAGAUGACGGUACCUGACUAAGAAGCCCCGGCUAACUACGUGCCAGCCGCGGC
Molecule: ribosomal RNA, 506 nt
Filed under: uncultured bacterium
Lineage: Bacteria
Description: bacterial SSU rRNA
Rfam family: Bacterial small subunit ribosomal RNA
Source: RNAcentral